This 253-nucleotide ribosomal RNA is filed under the name uncultured bacterium. Its description in RNAcentral is "partial 16S ribosomal RNA". It matches the Rfam family "Bacterial small subunit ribosomal RNA", at positions 29 to 263 of the family's 1533-position model. The record is from RNAcentral.
AACGAACGCUGGCGGCGUGCCUAACACAUGCAAGUCGUGCGGGAAAGUAGGGGCAACUCUACAAGUACAGCGGCGCACGGGUGAGUAACACGUAGGUAACCUGCCUCGGAGACUGGGAUAACCUGUCGAAAGACGGGCUAAUACCGGAUACGACCACGGGAGUUGAGGCUUUCGUGGUGAAAGGUGGCCUCUGCUUAGCAAGCUACCAAUCUGAGAUGGGCCUGCGCGCCAUAGCUAGUUGGUGAGGUAACGG